Camelus ferus (Wild Bactrian camel) is the source of this 72-nucleotide transfer RNA. It matches the Rfam family "tRNA". Rfam says of the family: Transfer RNA (tRNA) molecules are approximately 80 nucleotides in length. Their secondary structure includes four short double-helical elements and three loops (D, anti-codon, and T loops). The record is from Rfam. NCBI's taxonomy places the organism in Eukaryota, Metazoa, Chordata, Mammalia, Artiodactyla, Camelidae.
AAGGGUAUAGCUCAGUGGUAGAGUGCAUGCUUAGCAUCCAUGAGGUCCUUAGUUCAAUUCCCAGUACCUCUA